ACCUACAGCCAUGCCUCCCUGAAUGUGCCCGAUCUCAUCUGAUCUCAGAGGCUAAGCAGGAUCGGUCCUGGUUAGUACUUGGAUGGGAGAUCACUUAGGAAUACCAGGUGCUGUAGGUG
Molecule: ribosomal RNA, 119 nt
Organism: Pteropus vampyrus (large flying fox)
Lineage: Eukaryota; Metazoa; Chordata; Mammalia; Chiroptera; Pteropodidae
Source: Ensembl